GAUCCUUCUUUUAUGGAGUCUUUUCUCUAAACCCAGAUCUCUAGAUACGGUUUUAUGGAGAAUGAUGGUUCCUGAUGUCCAAAAUGAAGUAAAGCAGCUGACAGAAGCCUCAACUCAUCCCACUCUCAAAGACAUCUGCAUAUCUAACUGCAGUGGCAUCUACAUGUCUUCUGGGAGUACACAAGUUUGUGUUCAUCUUUUGUUCUUGUGUUGGGCUCUACCGAAAAGAGCCUGGCUCCAUCAUCUUUGCACCCUCCCUUCAAGGGUGCAGGAUUGUAUGCUUCUUGUUGAACAUCACUACCAUCAACCCAAAAGAGGUUCCCUCUUGUUCUGUCAUUUCUGGUUUGAGUCUUUAUUAAAUGAAA
Molecule: long non-coding RNA, 365 nt
Organism: Lagopus leucura (white-tailed ptarmigan)
Lineage: Eukaryota; Metazoa; Chordata; Aves; Galliformes; Phasianidae
Exons: 4
Source: RefSeq, a predicted model, not a curated record